RNAcentral lists this long non-coding RNA (225 nucleotides) under Ananas comosus (pineapple). RNAcentral describes it as "long non-coding RNA (ACOM_LNC034347)". Lineage: Eukaryota; Viridiplantae; Streptophyta; Magnoliopsida; Poales; Bromeliaceae. The record is from RNAcentral.
AAUUUACAGUAUAUUCUAUGUGGCGGUGAAGCUGAGACUGUAAUUAUUUACUCGUGGGAUACGAAUUCGAUAAAUUUUUGAUGUUCAGCUUACUCAACAGUAGACAAAUAUUUCGAGAUCUAUGGUGGAGGUUAGGGGUGUCUGAGAGUUUAUGUUUGAGAAUUGCUCAAAAAAAGCAUUAACGAAAGAUCGGACCAAAGACGCAACCUAUUGGUAGAUGAUCUG